Long non-coding RNA from Sparus aurata (gilthead seabream), 1739 nucleotides. Lineage: Eukaryota; Metazoa; Chordata; Actinopteri; Spariformes; Sparidae. The record is from Ensembl.
UAGUCAGCCAGUGCCAAGCAAAUUCAUUUCAUCUAAAAACUAAAAGCUUGAAAUGGUCUCUUUUAUUGGACACAACCCCUCAGAUCAGAACACCUCCACCACCCAGCGUGUGGAGGAGUUCCCACUGCAGGAUCUGCCUGAACUUCUGGGUGUGACCGCUGGUGUCAACCCCUCUGAGGAUGGAUGUUGCUCAGCGGAAUCUGAGUCUGAUUCAGCUCAGCAGAAGCAGAGAGAUGUUCGCCUCAUACAAGCAUCAGUGUCCCAGCACUUCCCAAAGCCACCGUUAGAUCUGGACCAGAACCUUCAGCAGCACCUGUUCAAUGUGCAGGAGACUGUGCGCAAUGAGCUCAUGAGGCUGAGUCCCGAGCUGGAGAAAAUGGGUUUGAUUGGAUGUCUGAUUGAUUGCUACCAUCGUCAUACACUUGAUCACAUCAGUGAUCUAUUCAAGAAUGUCCAGUCCUGCAAGAAAUCCUUUGAGCUGAUGAAGUGGAUCCUGCAUCCUUAUCUGAGUCAGGAGCUGCUCAGUCAUCCUGACCUUCAAGAAAAUGCUCCCAUAAUAAAAGUUGACUUCCCGCUGUCGACAGAAUUGGUGGCAAAAGCAGAGAACCUUCUGCUUGAAAAUGUGCCGGUAAAAAUAGUAAAUUAAUAAUGUUUGCGGUGCUAAUAUAUAUAUAUAUAUAUAUAUAUAUAUAUAUAUAUAUAUAUAUAUAUAUACACACACACACACACACACACACACACACACAUACACACAUAUAUAUAUAGUUUCCGUAUCUCUUUUUGUCCCCAGAAAGAGAUCAGAAAAUGUCUGGAUGAAAUCCUGCUGAUUCACAGAAACCAAGACAUUUGUGACAGUGAGGAAUCUUGCAUUGGACUUUACGUGGACAUUAUUCAGGUACUUAGUAAUGCAGAUGUUUGGGACCACGGGAAAUGAUUCAGUUUAAUUUAUGUGUACAGGUAACUUUGUAAAUAUUUAUUUGCCUUUUUAAAUACAUUCAUUUGGCUGUUUAUUUGUUGUACAAUAACAAUUCCUUUUUUUAUUCCCUUAAAGGUAGUCAAUGACAUGCCUGAAAAAGCUCAGCAAAUCAACCCAAAACUGUCUCAUGAUAUCCGAGAAGUUUGUUUCCAAGAGCUGAAGAUGUUUCUGGGGAGGUGAGAAUCUAUUUUUACUUCAGGAAUUAAUAACUUACCUGCAAAUCUUUGAACAAAAUUAUGCAUUUAGAAAAAUUAACAUUUUUAGAUUUGAUCAUGAUUAUCUGAUCUUUGACUUGUAGGUACACCUCUGAGCAGACUAAGUUUCUCAGAGUAAAAGCCAAAAAGGCCAUACCAAACAAGAUACACUUCUUCAAGAUUCUGAAAACUUGUAAAGAAAUUAAGUGAGUAUUUGAGUAUUUCUGUCUCUCUGCCAAAUGGUGGCGUGGUGUGGAGGGGUAACAGGUCGGUGACCUGAAGAUCGCAUCAGUGCUUUUUGCAGAUGAUGUGGUCUUGAUGACACCAUCGGCUUUAGACCUACAACGCUCACUGGAUCGGUUCGCAGCUGAGCGUGAAGCAGCAGGGAUGAGGAUCAGCACCUCUAAAUCUAAGGCCAAGGUUCUUAGUAGGAAACCGGUGGAUUGCCUACUCCGGGUGGAGAAUGAGUCCUUGUCCCAAGUAAAGGAGUUCAAGUACCUUGGGAUUUUGUUAACGAGUGAGGGGAUGAUGGGGCUUGAGAUCGACCGGAGAGUCGGAGCAGCGCAUGC